UAAAGGGAAACCUAAAGCAAACUAAUAUUUUCUAUUUAUUUUUGUCACUAAAAGGGCCUAAUUAAUUUGCAUUUAUAAAUUGGGGCCUCGAGUUCUCGUCCGAAUUCAAACGAAAGGGAAGACCCUUUUAAUUUGAACCCUCUAUCUAACUCAAAACUAAAAUUUAUAUUGCAAAUUAAUUUCCCAUAUUCCUAAUGUAAUUUAAAGGAUUUUUUACUUAUAGCAAAUUGUUGGGCCUUAAAACUUUGGUCCAAGCUGGUAAGCUAUCAGCUUGUGAAAUCCAAGUAAAUGCAUGCCCAUGUUGAGCUUCUGAGCGGAUGGCCCAUGAUUUGGCCACAUUUUAUGAAAACGAACAGGAGUGGGCUCCUAUUGAGCGCAAAGUCAAUACCAAUCUUGCUCAGGAUCUGCUAAACACAUUCGUAAUUAUGCAAAUGAAUUGCUGAUUUUGAAUGUGAUUAUAAUCCUAUAAGUUCACCUGUUCAUGCCUAUCCUUUUAGAUGUGAAAGUUAACAUCAUUUUAACAUCUCCUGGACUUCAAUUGACAUAAAAACUAUAAUAUGAAUGCUGAAAGUAAACUAACGUAAGGUGUGCAACCUAACUACCAGCUGGAUAUGAACAUUAAAUGCGAAACUGAUGUUAUAAGACACAAUUUUAGACCUUCAACCUCAGAUUACACAUAGAAUUACCAAUGUCAGUUCAAAUGCCUAAGGAUUAAUUACACAUGGAGUUAUCAAAGGCUAAUAACAGAACAUAAUUUCAAUAGUCUAAUAAUCUACACAUGUACAUUAACUCAUGACAAACUUAAAAGUCUAGAAACAUUCCUAGGCUGUCCACUCAUCAACUUACAAGUUCUAUCCAAGUUAAUCAAUGAAUAUAAUAUAUAUAUAUACAUAUAUAUAUAUAUAUAUAUAUAUAUAUAUAUAUAUAUAGAGCAUACUGUCCAGUUCAAUAUAAUUCAUUAGUUAAAAAUACAAGUCAAAAGUGGAUUCAAUCCAUUCCAAGCAAAAGAGCAUAUUUUUUCGUCUUUUAAAUCAAGAGUUACAGCACAUCAGACUUGAAUGUGUACCUGGAAGUUGAGGUAAAACAAAGGACAUGAGUCAGCAGUAUUAGAUAGCAAACAACAUCUCAAAUCAGCAACAGACAAGACCAAUUUCAGGAUCAAAUUGAUAUUAUAGCACCCAGGAAAAGUAACAGAGAAUCAACAGCAACAAAGCAAACCAAAUCACACUUGUUUGACCUCAAAACUAACUUCAAAUAAAGCAAUGUAACAUCUUUUUUUUGGAUCUUUACUAGAUUUUUAUAUGUUUGGAUUUUUUGGCAGGAAUUAAAAGCUAAACAAAAGGUUUCUAGAACUAUGAAACUUCAUAUUUGUACUUCUCUGGAUUUUGAAAUUCAAAAUUUGAGACUCAGCUUUUUAGAAGUGGAUUUUUGGAGAAACUAGAAGCUGGAAGGUUUUUGGAAUUUUCAGGGAUCUAAACUUGUUAAUCAAGGCACUAGUGAUGCCUUUUAUAGGCAAGAAAUGGGGCAGAAUCUUCUGAAAGAGUUUUUCUAUUUUUUUCCUUUUUUAUUUUCAAAAAUUGACUAUUAGACCCUAACUUUAAGACUUGUUACCCAAGUUACUGCAUUAUAAAUGCAGAAACUUAAACUAAGGCCCCUUUCUAGAAGGCCCUAGGGUGUUCUUUUAGCUGUGAAAAACCUAAACUACCUUUGAUUGAAUUUUAGAAUUACCGAUCCUUAACAAACUGGGCCAUUUUCAAUGACCAAAAUACCCUUGAAGACCCCCUAAAAUUACUAACCAAACCCAAAACCCUUUUUCCUAGUUAGAAGUCAACUAUAGGUAAUCCUAAUGAGUCUAAAUAAGCUAUAACCAAAAAAAGCGAAACCUUAACUCUAAUUCUCUAUGAUUAACUAACCAACAAUCAAGAAUUCAGCAGGUAAUCAAUGGCACUACUUUAUGAAUUCUAAAACUACUAUCAGUAAGCACAUAAAUGGAAUCAAAAACAAAAUUCAAAUAACAAAAUCAGUACUAAUUAUUGUCGAAAAAAGAAAGAAGAAAAAGAGCAUAACGAACAAAAUAACAGGAAUAAAAGGAAAUUAUAUUGAAACUAAUUACAGAAAUAACAGAGACUCACCCAUUCAAAGCUGGAACGGAGAUUGACAACUCGAUUCGAGCCUCAGAACAGUGUUAAGCAUUUGUUCUUCUCAAAGAACAAACGAAACAUUAUUUCGUGACUCGAAUCUAAUACCAGAUUCUAGUAAUUAGGCGAAACCGAACAACAUAAGCUCCUAGGGUUCUGCUGGAUUUUUGAUUCAAGAUUCGAGGCGUUUGGUUGUGAUUCGAGGGGAACUUAUGCUAGAUACGGAAAGAGAAGCAUGCAAGGAACCUAUGGUAUAAAUUUGGGGUUAUUUGGAUGGUUUUGUGUUUUGGCCAAAAAAACUUCGAUCUAAAAUUCGAAGUGUUGGAUUUGUGAGAAACGGUUUUGGGGGUUGGACAGAGGAAGAAGAGAUGAGUAAUGGGUGUAUUUUUGGAGUGGUUUGGAGCUUCGCCUCCGCUAACGGAGAUUUUCGGCCGGUGGCGGACGACAGAGAUACGGCGGGGUACAGAGGUGAUAUACUGACGUUACAGGGUACAAGGAAGAGGAUUGUGUUUUAGAUUUUGUAUAUAUUUUUGGACAGUUUUAAGCGUUAUUGUGAAGCAAUCUGGGCCGUUCGAUCAAGAGGCAUGGAUGGACUGGAUUACUUGAUGCCAAAACAGCAUCCUUUUGAUAACCUGGGGACUGCACCGGGUGGGAGACAGAUUGGGCCAAAUUUUGAACGGAUUUGGGGACUUUGGC
Molecule: long non-coding RNA, 2834 nt
Filed under: Nicotiana benthamiana
Lineage: Eukaryota; Viridiplantae; Streptophyta; Magnoliopsida; Solanales; Solanaceae
Description: long non-coding RNA (NBEN_LNC031096)
Source: RNAcentral